UGAAGACAGUGAUCAUUCAAAGAAAUGUCCACAAGCAUCAAACGGGGAGGGGCGAUGUUAAGCCUGCUACUUACUACCUAACAUGUUCGAGAAGAAUUUGCGGUAAUUGGACAAUUAUGUAGAAGGCUUGUUAUCUUAGAAUAGGUGAAGGCCAAAGAAAAUCUAUGUUUGAGCCUUUUGAUGCUUUUCAUUCCACAGAUUUAACAAAAAAAAAAAAGCAGCUGUACUGGCUGCUUGUUUAUCAUCUAGUAAUUGUAAGUUAAUGCGACAGUUCGAAGGUUAGCCUGUUAAAUAUUUAGACACGACAACCCCUUUUUUACUGUUCAUGUUAUCCGAGGAUGUGCCUCAGGUUUUGUGAUCCAAUGUUUAGAUUCAUUUGCCAAUCUUUAAAAAAAGGAAAGAAGAAAAAGUGUUUGGCCG
Molecule: unclassified non-coding RNA, 420 nt
Filed under: Hevea brasiliensis (rubber tree)
Lineage: Eukaryota; Viridiplantae; Streptophyta; Magnoliopsida; Malpighiales; Euphorbiaceae
Source: RNAcentral